AACGGGGUCUAAUACCGGAUAUGACUGUCCAUCGCAUGGUGGAUGGUGUAAAGCUCCGGCGGUGCAGGAUGAGCCCGCGGCCUAUCAGCUUGUUGGUGAGGUAGUGGCUCACCAAGGCGACGACGGGUAGCCGGCCUGAGAGGGCGACCGGCCACACUGGGACUGAGACACGGCCCAGACUCCUACGGGAGGCAGCAGUGGGGAAUAUUGCACAAUGGGCGAAAGCCUGAUGCAGCGACGCCGCGUGAGGGAUGACGGCCUUCGGGUUGUAAACCUCUUUCAGCAGGGAAGAAGCGAAAGUGACGGUACCUGCAGAAGAAGCGCCGGCUAACUACGUGCCAGCAGCCGCGGUAAUACGUAGGGCGCAAGCGUUGUCCGGAAUUAUUGGGCGUAAAGAGCUCGUAGGCGGCUUGUCACGUCGGUUGUGAAAGCCCGGGGCUUAACCCCGGGUCUGCAGUCGAUACGGGCAGGCUAGAGUUCGGUAGGGGAGAUCG
This 494-nucleotide ribosomal RNA is filed under the name Streptomyces sp. 3CM30. RNAcentral's name for it is "bacterial SSU rRNA". It matches the Rfam family "Bacterial small subunit ribosomal RNA", at positions 155 to 663 of the family's 1533-position model. The record is from RNAcentral. Lineage: Bacteria; Bacillati; Actinomycetota; Actinomycetes; Kitasatosporales; Streptomycetaceae.